CCCUUCGGGGUGGAUUAGUGGCGAACGGGUGAGUAACACGUGGGCAAUCUGCCCUGCACUCUGGGACAAGCCCUGGAAACGGGGUCUAAUACCGGAUAACACCCCCUCUCGCAUGGGAGGGGGUUGAAAGCUCCGGCGGUGCAGGAUGAGCCCGCGGCCUAUCAGCUUGUUGGUGAGGUAGAAGCUCACCAAGGCGACGACGGGUAGCCGGCCUGAGAGGGCGACCGGCCACACUGGGACUGAGACACGGCCCAGACUCCUACGGGAGGCAGCAGUGGGGAAUAUUGCACAAUGGGCGAAAGCCUGAUGCAGCGACGCCGCGUGAGGGAUGACGGCCUUCGGGUUGUAAACCUCUUUCAGCAGGGAAGAAGCGAAAGUGACGGUACCUGCAGAAGAAGCGCCGGCUAACUACGUGCCAGCAGCCGCGGUAAUACGUAGGGCGCAAGCGUUGUCCGGAAUUAUUGGGCGUAAAGAGCUCGUAGGCGGCUUGUCACGUCGGUUGUGAAAGCCCGGGGCUUAACCCCGGGUCUGCAGUCGAUACGGGCAGGCUAGAGUGUGGUAGGGGAGAUCGGAAUUCCUGGUGUAGCGGUGAAAUGCGCAGAUAUCAGGAGGAACACCGGUGGCGAAGGCGGAUCUCUGGGCCAUUACUGACGCUGAGGAGCGAAAGCGUGGGGAGCGAACAGGAUUAGAUACCCUGGUAGUCCACGCCGU
This 711-nucleotide ribosomal RNA is filed under the name Streptomyces sp. GTVB16. RNAcentral's name for it is "bacterial SSU rRNA". It matches the Rfam family "Bacterial small subunit ribosomal RNA", at positions 76 to 803 of the family's 1533-position model. Lineage: Bacteria; Bacillati; Actinomycetota; Actinomycetes; Kitasatosporales; Streptomycetaceae. The record is from RNAcentral.